GAAAUGCGAUACGUGAUGCGAAUCGCAGGGAUCAGCGAGUCAUCCAAUCUUUGAACGCACCUGGCGCCUUUGGUUACACCCAGAGGCGCGUCCGUUCGAGCGUUGCAUUUAUUAUCACAAUCCCUUUACUAUAUGUGAACG
Molecule: unclassified non-coding RNA, 141 nt
Filed under: uncultured fungus
Lineage: Eukaryota; Fungi
Description: sequence contains ITS1
Rfam family: 5.8S ribosomal RNA (bases 1-105)
About the family: 5.8S ribosomal RNA (5.8S rRNA) is a component of the large subunit of the eukaryotic ribosome. It is transcribed by RNA polymerase I as part of the 45S precursor that also contains 18S and 28S rRNA. Functionally, it is thought that 5.8S rRNA may be involved in ribosome translocation.
Source: RNAcentral